GUAGGCAUAGUUUAAUGAAAAUACUAGAUUGUGAUUCUAGUGAUAAAGGUUAAAACCCCUUUGCCCACC
Molecule: transfer RNA, 69 nt
Filed under: Eugnathogobius variegatus
Lineage: Eukaryota; Metazoa; Chordata; Actinopteri; Gobiiformes; Gobiidae
Description: tRNA-His
Rfam family: tRNA
About the family: Transfer RNA (tRNA) molecules are approximately 80 nucleotides in length. Their secondary structure includes four short double-helical elements and three loops (D, anti-codon, and T loops).
Source: RNAcentral